RNAcentral lists this non-coding RNA (27 nucleotides) under Rattus norvegicus (Norway rat). The record is from RNAcentral. Lineage: Eukaryota; Metazoa; Chordata; Mammalia; Rodentia; Muridae.
UACCCAGGACGGACUUCAUGCUAGUGG